Long non-coding RNA from Hibiscus syriacus, 162 nucleotides. RefSeq lists it as uncharacterized. The record is from RefSeq and is a predicted model, not a curated record. Lineage: Eukaryota; Viridiplantae; Streptophyta; Magnoliopsida; Malvales; Malvaceae. The transcript has 3 exons.
UGAUAGGAAAAAGAAAUAAAAUUACAAAGACCAGUCUCAGCUAAUUUCCACAAAGUCAUCUUGACAAAGCCUAGUAUUGGGUUUUUGUUCCCCCACCUUCUGUACUGUACAUAACUUUAAUCCCCAACCACUGUUCAUCAACCUGUAAAAAAUGUAGAGGGA